Molecule: small nucleolar RNA, 137 nt
Filed under: Ornithorhynchus anatinus (platypus)
Lineage: Eukaryota; Metazoa; Chordata; Mammalia; Monotremata; Ornithorhynchidae
Source: RNAcentral
CCCCUCUCAGGAUCACACCGGGAGAGUUUCCAGUACUCUACCAGGCUCAGCUAUGGGAGGGAGAGUCAAGCAGACCAUACCCAUUCCAUUCCUAGCUUGGGCAGUCGCUAGUAAGUGGAAGGCAAUCUGCUACAAGU